RNAcentral lists this ribosomal RNA (301 nucleotides) under uncultured bacterium. RNAcentral describes it as "partial 16S ribosomal RNA". It matches the Rfam family "Bacterial small subunit ribosomal RNA", at positions 509 to 808 of the family's 1533-position model. The record is from RNAcentral.
CAGUCGCCGCGGUAAUACGUAGGUCCCGAGCGUUGUCCGGAUUUAUUGGGCGUAAAGCGAGCGCAGGCGGUUAGAUAAGUCUGAAGUUAAAGGCUGUGGCUUAACCAUAGUAUGCUUUGGAAACUGUUUAACUUGAGUGCAGAAGGGGAGAGUGGAAUUCCAUGUGUAGCGGUGAAAUGCGUAGAUAUAUGGAGGAACACCGGUGGCGAAAGCGGCUCUCUGGUCUGUAACUGACGCUGAGGCUCGAAAGCGUGGGGAGCAAACAGGAUUAGAUACCCCCGUAGUCCCUGUCUCUUAUACA